UGUCCAGACUCCUACGGGAGGCAGCAGUCGGGAAUAUUGCGCAAUGGAGGAAACUCUGACGCAGUGACGCCGCGUAUAGGAAGAAGUUUUUCGGAAUGUAAACUACUGUCGUUAGGGAAGAGAAAGGACAGUACCUAAGGAGGAAGCCCCGGCUAACUACGUGCCAGCAGCCGCGGUAAUACGUAGGGGGCAAGCGUUAUCCGGAUUUACUGGGUGUAAAGGGGGCGCAGACGGCGAUGCAAGCCAGGAGUGAAAGCCCGGGGCCCAACCCCGGGACUGCUCUUGGAACUGCGUGGCUGGAGUGCAGGAGGGGCAGGCGGAAUUCCUGGUGUAGCGGUGAAAUGCGUAGAUAUCAGGAGGAACACCGGUGGCGAAGGCGGCCUGCUGGACUGCAACUGACGUUGAGGCCCGAAAGCGUGGGGAGCAAACAGGAUUAGAUACCCCAGUAA
Molecule: ribosomal RNA, 449 nt
Filed under: uncultured bacterium
Lineage: Bacteria
Description: bacterial SSU rRNA
Rfam family: Bacterial small subunit ribosomal RNA
Source: RNAcentral